RNAcentral lists this non-coding RNA (735 nucleotides) under Actebia praecox. Lineage: Eukaryota; Metazoa; Arthropoda; Insecta; Lepidoptera; Noctuidae. The record is from RNAcentral.
AUAAAUUUUAGUGUUAAUUUUGAAUUAUUUAAAUAAUAAUUUAUAUAUUUAAGUAGUAAUUAAUUUUAAAUUAUUUAAGAAAUUAGGAUUUAGUAAUACUUUAAUUAAUAACAAAUUUUGUGCCAGCAGUUGCGGUUAUACAAAAAUUAAAUUAAAUUUUAUUGAUAAUUAAUAAAUAAUUUUUUUUUAUAUAAUAAAAAUUUUAAAUUAUUAGGUGAAAUUUUAAUUUAAUAAAAUUUUAUAUAGUAUUUAUGAUUUAAUAAAUUUUAUAAAAAACUAGGAUUAGAUACCCUAUUAUUAAAAUUUAAAAUUAAAAUAUCAAAAUAGUAAAUAAUUAUUUAUUGAAACUUAAAUAAUUUGGCGGUAUUUUAGUUCAUUUAGAGGAAUCUGUUUAAUAAUUGAUAAUCCACGAAUAAAUUUACUUAAUUUAUUAUUUUGUAUAUCGUUGUUAAAAAAAUAUUUUUUAAUAAAGUUAAUAUUUAAAAAUUAUUAUAUAAAUUUAAAUCAGAUCAAGAUGCAGAUUAUAAUUAAGAAUAUAAUGGAUUACAAUAAAUUUAUUUAAAUGAAUUUUAAUUUGUAAUAAUUAAUUGAAAGUGGAUUUAAAUGUAAUUUUAUUUAAUUUAAUAAAAUGAUUUAAAAUUAAAAUAUGUACAUAUUGCCCGUCGCUUUCAUAUAAUAAUAAAUUGAAAUAAGUCGUAACAAAGUAGAGGUACUGGAAAGUGUUUCUAGAAAGAA